Molecule: non-coding RNA, 925 nt
Filed under: Colostethus inguinalis (common rocket frog)
Lineage: Eukaryota; Metazoa; Chordata; Amphibia; Anura; Dendrobatidae
Description: 12S ribosomal RNA
Rfam family: Bacterial small subunit ribosomal RNA
Source: RNAcentral
AAGGUUUGGUCCUAACCUUGAAGUCAGUUUUUACUUAAUAUACACAUGCAAGUAUCCGCACCCCUGUGAAAACGCCCUCAUCCUCCCCAAUAGUGAGCAGGAGCCGGUAUCAGGCACAAUUCUUUGCCCACAACACCUAGCAUCGCCACACCCACAAGGGACUUCAGCAGUGAUAAACAUUGAGUAUAAGCGAUAGCUUGACUCAGUUAAAUUAUUUUAGAGCCGGCCAAUCUGGUGCCAGCCGCCGCGGUUACACCACGGACUCAAAUUGACCUCCAUCGGCGUAAAGCGUGAUUAAAGCCUUAAGAUCUUUGGGGUUAAAUUAGAACUAAGCUGUGACACGCUUGUUAUCUAAGAAAAUCAAAAACGAAAGUUACUCCAACUCAAUCAACUUGAAUUCACGACAACUGAGAGACAAACUGGGAUUAGAUACCCCACUAUGCUCAGUCGUAAACUUUAACUUACACCUGUAUCGCCCGGGAACUACGAGCCAAGCUUAAAACCCAAAGGACUUGACGGUACCCCAUAUCCCCCUAGAGGAGCCUGUCCUAUAAUCGAUAACCCCCGCUUUACCUCACCAUUUUUUGCCUAUCAGCCUGUAUACCUCCGUCGUCAGCUUACCACGUGAGCGUUAGUGAGCCCAAUGUUAAUACAACCGUACGUCAGGUCAAGGUGCAACAUAUAAAAUGGAAAGAGAUGGGCUACACUCUCUACUUUAGAACAAACGAAAAACUUAAUGAAACCUAAUUAGAAGGCGGAUUUAGCAGUAAGAUGAAACUAGAGCGUUCAUUUAAAUAAGGCACUGGGGUGUGUACACACCGCCCGUCACCCUCCUCAACUCUAUAAAGCAGUCUUUAACACACCAUAGUAAUUCAGAAGAGGCAAGUCGUAACAUGGUAAGUACACCGGAAGGUGUGCUUGGAAU